This 71-nucleotide transfer RNA is filed under the name Stegodyphus mimosarum. It matches the Rfam family "tRNA". From Rfam's summary of the family: Transfer RNA (tRNA) molecules are approximately 80 nucleotides in length. Their secondary structure includes four short double-helical elements and three loops (D, anti-codon, and T loops). Further hydrogen bonds mediate the characteristic L-shaped molecular structure. tRNAs have two regions of fundamental functional importance: the anti-codon, which is responsible for specific mRNA codon recognition, and the 3' end, to which the tRNAs corresponding amino acid is attached (by aminoacyl-tRNA synthetases). tRNAs cope with the degeneracy of the genetic code in two manners: having more than one tRNA (with a specific anti-codon) for a particular amino acid; and 'wobble' base-pairing, i.e. permitting non-standard base-pairing at the 3rd anti-codon position. Lineage: Eukaryota; Metazoa; Arthropoda; Arachnida; Araneae; Eresidae. The record is from Rfam by way of RNAcentral.
GCUUUGUGGUGUAGCGGUAGCACACUCGGCGGGUAUUCGAGAGGUCCAGGGUUCGAGUCCUGGCAAGAGUA